GCAGCUCCAGGAUCUGGUGGAGAGUCCAAACUCCAAACUGCAGACUCUGAGGUGGGACUUGUGAGUCUGAUGUUCCUCCUGGAGGAGCAGAGAGGAGCAGCAGCAGCUGGUCUGCAGAGAUGUUGUGACUGGACGGUGUUCCUGGGAGGUGGAGAGCAGAGUGAUGGAGGAAUCAGAGGAAGUGGAGAUGAGUGUCAGAGCUGCAAGGAGAUCAGCUCCACUGUCUCUCUCAGCAUCAUAAUAAUAAUAAUAAUAAUAUGCCUAAACCCGAUACGGGUAAAACACUUUAAAGCAUAAAUAAUAAAGACAAAUUCUAUCAAGUUCAAAUUCCA
This is a non-coding RNA of Oryzias latipes (Japanese medaka), 332 nucleotides long. Lineage: Eukaryota; Metazoa; Chordata; Actinopteri; Beloniformes; Adrianichthyidae. The record is from RefSeq and is a predicted model, not a curated record.